UACGGAGGGUGCAAGCGUUAUCCGGAUUCACUGGGUUUAAAGGGUGCGUAGGCGGGCAGGUAAGUCAGUGGUGAAAUCUCCGGGCUUAACCCGGAAACUGCCGUUGAUACUAUCUGUCUUGAAUAUCGUGGAGGUAAGCGGAAUAUGUCAUGUAGCGGUGAAAUGCUUAGAUAUGACAUAGAACACCCAUUGCGAAGGCAGCUUACUACGGGGUCAUUGACACUGAGGCACGAAAGCGUGGGGAUCAAACAGG
RNAcentral lists this ribosomal RNA (253 nucleotides) under uncultured bacterium. RNAcentral describes it as "partial 16S ribosomal RNA". It matches the Rfam family "Bacterial small subunit ribosomal RNA", at positions 524 to 776 of the family's 1533-position model. The record is from RNAcentral.